Molecule: small nuclear RNA, 175 nt
Gene: U2
Rfam family: U2 spliceosomal RNA
About the family: U2 is a small nuclear RNA (snRNA) component of the spliceosome (involved in pre-mRNA splicing). Complementary binding between U2 snRNA (in an area lying towards the 5' end but 3' to hairpin I) and the branchpoint sequence (BPS) of the intron results the bulging out of an unpaired adenosine, on the BPS, which initiates a nucleophilic attack at the intronic 5' splice site, thus starting the first of two transesterification reactions that mediate splicing.
Source: Ensembl
AUCGCUUCUCGGCCUUUUGGCUAAGAUCAAGUGUAGUCUCUGUUCUUAUCAGUUUAAUAUCUGAGGACAAUAUAUUAAAUGGAUUUUUGGUACUAGGAGUUGGAAUAGGAGCUUGCUCCAUCCACUCCACGCAUUGACCUGGUAUUGCAGUAUCUCCAGGAACGGUGCACCCCUU